CUUGGUCAUUUAGAGGAAGUAAAAGUCGUAACAAGGUCUCCGUUGGUGAACCAGCGGAGGGAUCAUUACCGAGUUUACAACUCCCAAACCCCUGUGAACAUACCAAUUGUUGCCUCGGCGGAUCAGCCCGCUCCCGGUAAAACGGGACGGCCCGCCAGAGGACCCCUAAACUCUGUUUCUAUAUGUAACUUCUGAGUAAAACCAUAAAUAAAUCAAAACUUUCAACAACGGAUCUCUUGGUUCUGGCAUCGAUGAAGAACGCAGCAAAAUGCGAUAAGUAAUGUGAAUUGCAGAAUUCAGUGAAUCAUCGAAUCUUUGAACGCACAUUGCGCCCGCCAGUAUUCUGGCGGGCAUGCCUGUUCGAGCGUCAUUUCAACCCUCAAGCCCAGCUUGGUGUUGGGACUCGCGAGUCAAAUCGCGUUCCCCAAAUUGAUUGGCGGUCACGUCGAGCUUCCAUAGCGUAGUAGUAAAACCCUCGUUACUGGUAAUCGUCGCGGCCACGCCGUUAAACCCCAACUUCUGAAUGUUGACCUCGGAUCAGGUAGGAAUACCCGCUGAACUUAAGCAUAUCAAUAAGCGGAGGAAAAGAAACCAACAGGGAUUGCCCUAGUAACGGCGAGUGAAGCGGCAACAGCUCAAAUUUGAAAUCUGGCUCUCGGGCCCGAGUUGUAAUUUGUAGAGGAUACUUUUGAUGCGGUGCCUUCCGAGUUCCCUGGAACGGGACGCCAUAGAGGGUGAGAGCCCCGUCUGGUUGGAUGCCAAAUCUCUGUAAAGUUCCUUCGACGAGUCGAGUUGUUUGGGAAU
Molecule: small RNA, 804 nt
Filed under: uncultured Gibberella
Lineage: Eukaryota; Fungi; Ascomycota; Sordariomycetes; Hypocreales; Nectriaceae
Description: eukaryotic LSU rRNA
Rfam family: Eukaryotic large subunit ribosomal RNA (bases 528-804)
Source: RNAcentral